UGGGGAAUUUUGCACAAUGGAGGAAACUCUGAUGCAGCGACGCCGCGUGAGUGAUGAAGAUCUUCGGAUUGUAAAACUCUGUCCUUAGUGAAGAUAAUAACAGUAACUAAGAAGCAAGCCCUGGCUAAAUACGUGCCAGCAGCCGCGGUAAUACGUAUGGGGCAAGCGUUGUCCGGAAUUAUUGGGCGUAAAGGGUACGUAGGCGGUUUAAUAAGUCCUAAUUAAAAGGCUAUGGCUCAACCAUAGUAUGGUUAGGAAACUGUUGAACUUGAGUAGAUGGGGGGAAAGUGGAAUUCCAUGUGUAGCGGUGAAAUGCGUAGAUAUAUGGAGGAACACCAAUGGCGAAGGCAACUUUCUGGAAUCAAACUGACGCUGAGGUACGAAGGCGUGGGGAGCAAACAGG
RNAcentral lists this ribosomal RNA (403 nucleotides) under Fusobacteriota bacterium. Its description in RNAcentral is "Fusobacteria bacterium partial 16S ribosomal RNA". It matches the Rfam family "Bacterial small subunit ribosomal RNA", at positions 355 to 776 of the family's 1533-position model. Lineage: Bacteria; Fusobacteriati; Fusobacteriota. The record is from RNAcentral.